UACGUAGGGGGCAAGCGUUGUCCGGAAUCAUUGGGCGUAAAGGGCGCGUAGGCGGCCUGCUAAGUCGAACGUGAAAUCCCUGGGCUCAACCCAGGAACUGCGUCCGAUACUGGUUGGCUUGAAUCCGGGAGAGGGAUGCGGAAUUCCAGGUGUAGCGGUGAAAUGCGUAGAUAUCUGGAGGAACACCGGUGGCGAAGGCGGCAUCCUGGACCGGCAUUGACGCUGAUGCACGAAGGCCAGGGGAGCAAACGGG
RNAcentral lists this ribosomal RNA (253 nucleotides) under uncultured bacterium. RNAcentral describes it as "partial 16S ribosomal RNA". It matches the Rfam family "Bacterial small subunit ribosomal RNA", at positions 524 to 776 of the family's 1533-position model. The record is from RNAcentral.